Myxocyprinus asiaticus (Chinese sucker) is the source of this 2985-nucleotide RNA transcript. It is a transcript of the gene named fibrous sheath CABYR-binding protein-like, with no coding region annotated. The record is from RefSeq and is a predicted model, not a curated record. The transcript is spliced from 5 exons. Lineage: Eukaryota; Metazoa; Chordata; Actinopteri; Cypriniformes; Catostomidae.
CAUUUGUACAUUAAUUUUCUUUAAAUAAACCCUGUGUCUCUGUGGCACUAUACAUUUUUUAUAAAAGGUUUGUUUUGAGCGACACAUCCAUAACGAUACAAUGACAUUGACUCAACUAAUGGCAUGAGUUGGGGUCGGGACUAUCUAUUUGUGUGAUCAACAGAAAACACGGGGCGUAUCCAGAAAGCUGUUUGAAAACAAUUAUUUUAGCAAUUCCGUUUGGUGGUGCAGAAAUUUCUUCAGCUUUAAGUGUGUUAUUUGUUUAUUUUCUGCUAGUGGCCUAAAUUUGACCUUGGAGUCCCCGUUUGUAGAAAAAUGCACAGAGAGGGCAAGACUCCAACGGAAGGUGUCCAGUCGGAGGCUGCCAUCUGUGGACGCGCUUGACGAGGCUGUGCAGAGAUGUCUAGAGCAGGGCCCUAACAAAGAGCACUCUGUAUUUCAAGAUGGAAAAAACUGUAGAAGAUUCUUCAUGGCAGAAGUUCACUCUCGGUCUCGAUGUUACGGAGCUUUACGUGCAGCCUGCAAGCUCAACUGCUCAGCCGAACAAAAACAACACUUUGGUACCAUCUGCAGUGAGUGAGAGAGAACAUGAUCCUGAGAGAGAUGAAGGAGAAAACCAAGAAACUCAUGAUGGUGAAAUUCCUGACAUUCCGGAGCCUGUAAUCCAAGAAGAAAAAGAGCAUGACAUGGAGUCUCCAUCACAGGAUGAGGAGAUGGUACCUUCAUCCCAAGAGGCAGGAGACUGCAGUCUUUGAGUCCUGACGAUGACAUCGUACUUGCUCCAACGCAGGCGAUGAUGGAAUCCCUUCCUGAAUCUCUUCCUGAAUCUCAUGAUGUGGAGAUACCAGAGACCCAAACAGGAAAAAGUUGAGGAGGAGAAUGUUCUAGGGUGUGUAGAUGCAUCACAGAAUCUAGAUCGAAUAACUCGCAGAGCGCACCGCUCAGAAGGUGGAGAUGCUAUUUUAGGAGUUCCAGCAAGCUUAAGAGUCACAAAGAGUCUCUGUACUGGAUUGAACUCCAGAGAAAAUGAUCUUCUGGAUUUUGUUAACGGGAGUUUAAAGAACAUUCCUGAUGAACAGAUCAGACCACAAGACGGCCCAGUGUACACUCCUCUCCACCCUGUUGCAGAGGUCAGAACAUCUGAGCAAAUGUCGCAGCAACAUGAGGCUAGUCUGGCUGAGGAAAGUUUGCCGGAACAUGCAGGUGAUGAUGCCCCUGAGGAGAUGAACCAAUCAGAGGAAGAGGAUAUGAUUGAGUUUGAGGCAGCCAAUCAGAACUGUGAACCUCAUUCAGAUGUUUCAUAUGAAGAGGACAUGAUUGACCCUGAGCCAGCCAAGCAGAGCCCUGAACAUCAUUCAGCUGCUUCAGAUGAAGAGGACAUGAUUGACUCUGAGCCAGCCAAUCAGAGCCCUGAACCUCAUUCACCUACUUCAGAUGAACAGGAAGAUGGCAUGAUAGAGCCUGAGCCAGCCAAUAAGAGCCCUGAACCUCAUUCACCAACUUCAGAUGAACAGGAAGAAGAUGAUGAUGACGCUUGUAGUGCAGAACUGUCCAUGAAAACUCCUGCUUUUGUAUGACAGAAGAGAGUGAUCGCAAGUCCAAGUGCUCAGACCACACACUCAGUCCUUAAACAAUUGAAUGCUGGUCCUGCCCCUCAGGUUGCCAAAUGAGCCCCCAGACUGAAGCGUCAGAGAGGCAACAGUGUUCUUCCCAAGAGUUACAUCAUGAGUGUGUUCAAACACUUCGCUAAGACAAAGGUGGCCAGUGACGUCUACCCUGCCAUAAAUGAAGUGUAUGUAAACCAGUUGAGUCACAUUCAAUGAAGAACUGUUUUUAAAGGAAUACAUAAGUGAAAAGUGACUUCUCUUUAGCUACAGUAUGUUUAAGCAAAAGCAUAUAAGUGACCAGGGGCUGUCCAGCUCCGGAAGAAGGACAAAAUUAUAUAUUACUGUAUUUAGGCGAUAUUUGCUAAAAAUCGUCCCCUACACAGUAGCUCUCAAAUGUAAUUAAUGCUUAUUAUGCAUACUCAAACAUGCUGCGACGCAUUGUUAUGAGUCAUUUGAAAACCAAUGUCAUUUAACAUCAUUGUCAUCAAUCCUGGUGCAGCAUGUCUUUACAUGCCAUGCUUAUAUUCACACAAAUGAGAUUUUAGAGGUAUGCCUAGUAAGUAACUACUCGCACAAAGCUUUGUUUUAGAGUACUUGGAAUGUAGCGUUCUAGUCUUUUAUGGUGCUGUUUUUAGUCAUUUUUGGAGCUUGAUGCAAUCUGUCCACAUUUACUUUCAUUUUAGGAAAAAAGCAGCAUAGACGAAUGUUUUUAAAAAUGUUCGAAACAUCUCUCUUUGUGCUAGCUAAAAGGAAAGCUUACAGGUUGCAAUGAAAUUAGGAUGAUUAAAUUGUAUAUUUAUAUUUUAUUUUGGGGUGUACAUCUCGAAAGGACAAUAUUUGUGAUAUUUUUUCCCGUAGUCUUAAGAAAUACUUCGAUCGGCUAGCCGACGAUCUGGCGGCAUACGCUGCGCACGCCAAACGUAAAACCAUUGAAGUUGAUGAUUUUGAGCUGCUCAUGAGAAGGUAACAUUUAUCUAAUAGGUUCAUAACUUAUUCUUUUUUAAGCAUGCAUUUAAUGCUUUUUCAUUUGGUCUUUCUCAGGCAGAGGUUUGUGACAGACAGCACGCCUGCAAAAAUACUGAUAGAGAAAUAUCUUUCACUGGAAUAUCGCAAACUUCUCAUUCCCAUUGCAACCAGUGGAAACAAAGUCAUCCCGAUUCGAAGGAGGUGAACGAUGGAUGGGACAACUUUGCAUAUCAGAUUGUCUUGUAAAUAUGUUCUCACAAUGUUUACAAUAUAAAUACCCUGUUUUAUAGAUAAGGAUGAUUUGUUAAUAUAUAUCUACUAUUUGUUUUAUGCAGCACUUUUAACAAAAGUAAUACAUGCUUGGAUCUUUGUAUUUUGGCCAUCUAUUUAUAUUUUCUUAAAGUUCUUCCAA